UAGAAUGUGUUGUCUUGCUGUUCC
RNAcentral lists this non-coding RNA (24 nucleotides) under Rattus norvegicus (Norway rat). Lineage: Eukaryota; Metazoa; Chordata; Mammalia; Rodentia; Muridae. The record is from RNAcentral.